Molecule: RNA transcript, 3072 nt
Organism: Magnolia sinica
Lineage: Eukaryota; Viridiplantae; Streptophyta; Magnoliopsida; Magnoliales; Magnoliaceae
Gene name: histone-lysine N-methyltransferase, H3 lysine-9 specific SUVH4
Exons: 17
Source: RefSeq, a predicted model, not a curated record
AGACUGGGGGAGAGGGCGCGCGAGCGGGAAGGCGAAUCGCUUCAACUGGGAAAAACGAAAAAAAGAAAAAGAAAAGAAAAGAAAAGAAAAGAAAAUCCCUCUUCUCUGUCUCUCUUCUCUACAAGACCGGGAAAAAGCAAAACCCUAGAUUUGAAAAAAAAAAAGCCCUAGUUCUCACUCAUCUCUAUCCAGAUCUCUGUUUCCAUGGAGAUUCAAACCCUGACCUGUCUCGAUCCCGUCGAUGCAUCUCUCACCAGCUGCUCGAGCAAUGCCUUCGAUUGCAAAGCUGUCGAGGAUUGCCGAUCUCUUCCGGGCGAGAAGCUGCAGCAGGAGAAGCUGGUAAUGGUCUGUGGAAUCUCUUCUAGUGAUGAGCAGACGAAAGCUGCUGUGACUGUGGAAGGCGCGAUGAAGAACGGCUCGUGUGAAGUUUCUCUGGAGCGGAGAGUUAGUACUAGGCUCCGGAACCGGCGGGAGAAGGAAAAAUCUGAUGACGGGAAACAGAAUGUUCGUGUGAACGAUGCUGAGAAGGUCGGGAAGAAGAGAGCUAGGGUCGAGAAGAAGCAAGUAUCGGAAGUUCCGGCGGUGGAUCCGAAAUGCGAUGAGCGGGUGGAGGCAGACCUGAAACGUGAUGGGCAUGUAGCGGCCAAUGAUUCCAAGCGAGGGGAUUCAGUAAAUGUAGUUGCUAAUGAGGGGGAAGAGAAUGUGGUAAUUGGCGGUGGCAGUUCGAGUGAUAUGGAGGAAAAGGGUGCUUAUUCUAGGGUGAUGAAGACACUUAGGAUCUUUAACAAUCAUUAUCUUCACUUUGUUCAGGAAGAAGAGAAAAGGUGUAAGAGAGCAGAAACUGGUGAUAGGAAAAUCUCUAAUGCAUCAGGAGCUAAGGGAAAGAAGAAAGCAUCCAAGAAACUAAAAGUUGGUGAGGGGAAGACUGCUAAAGCUUCAAAAUCUAAGGGGGAAAGCGCAAAUGUGGAGGAUAUCAAGCGGUCUUCGAAGAGACCUGAUUUGAAGGCAAUUUCUCGAAUGAUAGAGACUAAGGCUAUUUUGUACCCUAAAGGAAGAUUGGGUCACCUUCCAGGCAUCGAUGUUGGACAUCAAUUCCAUUCACGGGCAGAGAUGGUUGUUGUUGGUCUCCAUAGCCAUUGGCUGAAUGGAAUCGAUUUCUUGGGAGAAACCUUUAGGAAAUUGGAGAAAUACAAGUCUUACACUUUCCCACUUGCAGUAUCCAUAGUGAUGUCCGGCCAAUAUGAAGAUGAUGUAGAUAAUUCAGAAGACAUUGUUUAUACUGGUCAAGGUGGGAACAAUCUACUUGGUAACAAGCACCAAAUUCGGGAUCAAGAGAUGGCUCGCGGUAACUUGGCACUAAAGGUUUUCCUAAUGUAUAUGAUUCAUCUCAUCCAUACACAGAAUAGUAUGGAACAUGGUGUGCCUGUCAGAGUAACUCGUGGACAUUCAUCCGGGGAUAGCUAUUGUGGAAAGGUUUACACUUAUGACGGCUUGUACAAGGUUGUUCGAUACUGGGCUGAAAAAGGUGUUUCUGGAUACACAGUCUUUAAAUAUCGCUUAAGGCGGCUCGAAGGGCAGCCUGAUUUGACCACAAAUCAGGUUCACUUUACUCGAAAGCAAGUGCCUACAUCUCUUUCAGAACUGCGUGGGUUGGUAUGUGAGGACAUCAGCGGAGGUCAAGAAGCUAUUCCUAUACCAGCUACGAAUGAGGUUGAUGAUCCACCUAUUCCUCCAACAGGUUAUGUGUACCGUAAGUCUAUCCAAGUUCCAAAAGGCAUGAAGCUCCCUAUAGAUGCUAUGGAUGUUGUUGGGUGCGAAUGCAGAGGAACUUGCAUUGAUCCAAAGGUUUGUGCUUGUGCAAGACUUAAUGGCUCGGAGUUUCCAUAUGUGCGAAAAGAUGGUGGGAGGUUGGUUGAAGCCAAAGCUGUUGUAUUUGAAUGUGGACCUAAUUGUGGUUGUGGCGCUGAUUGUGUCAAUAGAACAUCUCAACGAGGAUUAAAGUACCGACUUGAGGUCUUCCGCACACCUAAGAAAGGAUGGGCUGUUAGAUCUUGGGAUUCGAUUCCUUCGGGUGCCCCAGUAUGUGAAUACACGGGGAUACUUAAAAGGACGGAUGAAUUGGAUCACGUUUCUGACAACAAUUUCAUUUUUGACAUCGAUUGCCUACAGACGAUGGAGGGUCUUGAUGGACGGGAGAGGCGAUUAGGAGAUGUCUCUUUUCAUACAAAGGCCCAUCUGGAGAGAAGUGAUGACAAGAAAUCAGAAAGUGUUCCGGAAUUUUGUAUUGAUGCAGGAUCGGUAGGCAAUGUUGCAAGAUUCAUUAAUCACAGCUGCCAACCGAAUCUCUUUGUCCAAUGUGUUUUGAGCACCCACCAUGACAUCAAACUUGCCCGAGUGAUGCUAUUUGCAGCUGAUAACAUACCUCCUCUACAGGAACUUUCAUAUGAUUAUGGCUAUGCGCUUGACAGUGUGGUGGGCCCAGACGGAAACAUAAAGACAAUGUCAUGUUAUUGUGGGGCAGCAGAUUGUCGGAAGCGUCUAUACUAGGUAACUAGUAUAUGCUUUCUGCCUGUAAUCAAAAUAACUCAAAAGUGCUUCCAAUGCGAGGGCUCUUCAGAUGUUUGUCCCUGAAGAAGAUAGUUUUUCAGAUGAUGAAGAGGUGGUGGAUCAUUGUGCGCAUUUGAGAGUUGGAGCAUGUCCUUUUGCAUUGCAUGAGUCAUGAGGCAGCCAUUCGGCGAGGGACCUGGCCUAGCAAACUCAAGAGUGCCGAAUAAGCCUAACCGGUUCAGCUAAAAAUGGCCCACGCAGGGCCAUGAUGACCUUGCCUGGUGAAAUUAUAAUUCUGGUUGUUUCUGAUUCUGGGAAUGUAUUUUUGGGUUAUACAUAGAAUAGCUUUCAAACAUUCCAUUUUCAUAGGUAACUUAUGAUUCUCGUGGCUUGUUUGGAUGCACCCUUAUGAGAGUAGCUUCUUUUUUUCCACCUGUGGUAGCAAAUCAGCUAUUUUUUUCUUAAAGUAGUUUUGUAACCACCUUUGUUAAAGUCGCAUAUUAGCUUAAACUUACUGCCAUAAGU